UUUCGGACCUAGAGACCGGCGCACGGGUGCGUAACGCGUAUGCAAUCUACCUUUCACAAAGGGAUAGCCCAGAGAAAUUUGGAUUAAUACCUUAUAGUAAUACGACUUGGCAUCAAGAUGUAUUUAAAGAUUUAUCGGUGAAAGAUGAGCAUGCGUCCCAUUAGCUAGUUGGUAAGGUAACGGCCUACCAAGGCUACGAUGGGUAGGGGUCCUGAGAGGGAGAUCCCCCACACUGGUACUGAGACACGGACCAGACUCCUACGGGAGGCAGCAGUGAGGAAUAUUGGGCAAUGGGCGGAAGCCUGACCCAGCCAUGCCGCGUGCAGGAUGACGGUCCUAUGGAUUGUAAACUGCUUUUGCACAGGAAGAAACACUACUUCGUGAAGUAGCUUGACGGUACUGUGAGAAUAAGGAUCGGCUAACUCCGUGCCAGCAGCCGCGGUAAUACGGAGGAUCCAAGCGUUAUCCGGAAUCAUUGGGUUUAAAGGGUCCGUAGGCGGUUUAGUAAGUCAGUGGUGAAAGCCCAUCGCUCAACGGUGGAACGGCCAUUGAUACUGCUAAACUUGAAUUAUUAGGAAGUAACUAGAAUAUGUAGUGUAGCGGUGAAAUGCUUAGAGAUUACAUGGAAUACCAAUUGCGAAGGCAGGUUACUACUAAUGGAUUGACGCUGAUGGACGAAAGCGUGGGUAGCGAACAGGAUUAGAUACCCUGGUAGUCCACGCCGUAAACGAUGGAUACUAGCUGUUGUGAGCAAUCUCAGUGGCUAAGCGAAAGUGAUAAGUAUCCCACCUGGGGAGUACGUUCGCAAGAAUGAAACUCAAAGGAAUUGACGGGGGCCCGCACAAGCGGUGGAGCAUGUGGUUUAAUUCGAUGAUACGCGAGGAACCUUACAAGGCUAAAUGUAGUUUGACCGUUUUGGAAACAGAACUUUCGCAGACAAAUUACACGUGCUGCAUGGUUGUCGUCAGCUCG
RNAcentral lists this ribosomal RNA (972 nucleotides) under uncultured bacterium. RNAcentral's name for it is "bacterial SSU rRNA". It matches the Rfam family "Bacterial small subunit ribosomal RNA", at positions 80 to 1062 of the family's 1533-position model. The record is from RNAcentral.